GUCCCGCCCCGCCCCCAUCCAGUUAAUCGUACUCACCUCCUUCGGCUGCAAUGCGAUGGCGCAAUUACUGUAUAUAAGUAGUACAUGAUAUAUAUUUAUAUAUUCUGUAUACUAUCGGUGUUUUGUUUGUUUUAAACUCGCCUCUGUUUCUGUGUACCUUCAUAAGCCGAUGCAAAUACUUUUGUAAUUUUCAAUCUUUUAUAAACAAAACGUAGACAAGAAUUCAGCGUUGGCAUUUGGCAGCCUUUUAUACUCUAAAGAAAUUUUUUUUUUUCGCUACUUUGUAAAACAACAGAUAAUAAUAACAAUUGUAUAUGAUGUUCUCCUUAUUAUAUCCCUGUAUAUUUUCGAUUUGAAUAUAAAUAAUGACUAUAUAACUGUUAAAA
This is a long non-coding RNA of Drosophila navojoa, 386 nucleotides long. The record is from RefSeq and is a predicted model, not a curated record. NCBI's taxonomy places the organism in Eukaryota, Metazoa, Arthropoda, Insecta, Diptera, Drosophilidae.